AUACGUAGGGGGCGAGCGUUGUCCGGAAUUAUUGGGCGUAAAGGGCGCGUAGGCGGAGAUAUGUGUCAGCUGUGAAAACUACGGCUUAACUUGUAACGUGCAGCUGAAACUGUAUCCCUUGAGUGCAGGAGAGGAAAGUGGAAUUCCCAGUGUAGCGGUGGAAUGCGUAGAUAUUGGGAGGAACACCAGUGGCGAAGGCGGCUUUCUGGACGUUAACUGACGCUGGGGCGCGAGAGCGUGGGGAGCAAACAGGAGUAGAUGCCCUGUUAGUCCACGCCGUAAACGAUGGAUACUAGGUGUAGGUGUCGAUAGGCAUCUGUGCCGUAGCGAACGCAAUAAGUAUCCCGCCUGGGGAGUACGGCCGCAAGGUUGAAACUCAAAUGAAUUGACGGGG
Molecule: ribosomal RNA, 394 nt
Filed under: uncultured bacterium
Lineage: Bacteria
Description: partial 16S ribosomal RNA
Rfam family: Bacterial small subunit ribosomal RNA
Source: RNAcentral